GUCAGCAUGGCCUUUAUAUCCUGGGCUACACACACGCUACAAUGGGAAGGGACAAUAGGUUGCGAAGCCGCGAGGCGGAGCCAAUCCAGCAAAACUUCCCUCAGUUCAGAUUGCAGGCUGCAACUCGCCUGCAUGAAGUUGGAGUUGCUAGUAAACGCAGGUCAGCCAUACUGCGUUGAAUACGUUCCGGGCUU
Molecule: ribosomal RNA, 194 nt
Filed under: uncultured Anaerolineaceae bacterium
Lineage: Bacteria; Bacillati; Chloroflexota; Anaerolineae; Anaerolineales; Anaerolineaceae
Description: partial 16S ribosomal RNA
Rfam family: Bacterial small subunit ribosomal RNA
Source: RNAcentral